CGGAUGUAGCCAAGUGGAUCAAGGCAGUGGAUUGUGAAUCCACCAUGCUCGAUU
This 54-nucleotide transfer RNA is filed under the name Mangifera indica (mango). RNAcentral's name for it is "partial tRNA-His". The record is from RNAcentral. Lineage: Eukaryota; Viridiplantae; Streptophyta; Magnoliopsida; Sapindales; Anacardiaceae.